AUGUAUAAUCUAUUAAAAAUUGAUUUAUAACAGCUUUUAAAAAAACAGCAUAAAAAUCAUAUUGACACUGAAUUUUAAUCCGUAUAGCUAGAGCCAUAUUUUUUUUAUAUAAUUUCUUGACCAUUGGAUCAACACACUUUAGACAUUUGAGAUUAAAUUUGAUACGUUAAAGUAAUACAUGUAAUGAAUGAACACAAGCGAUUUUAUCUCAACUAUUGCAAGUGUACAAAUCCAAAGAUCUAUAUUUUGUUUCAGAAUUUGUGUAAAAAAUUGAAGUGACAGAACUUUGCCCAUUAUGAAAUACAUAGACCAUUGGCCAGGUGGUAACAAUAUACUCUUCCCUCGUAUUAGGGAAUGAGUUUAAGUUCCCGAAGAUUCAAAAUUUCAACUUGGUAAAUUCUUAAAAGUAUGAGAUAUGUAAGGGCAGGGGUGAACCUCUACCCUUCACAGUUAAGCAUGAUUGUAAGGGAGGGGUUCGAAUUUUCAUGGAUUCAAACUCUCUCAAUUAAGUAUUAUAUAUGAUUGUGUGGAGUUAUUUGUAAGUUUUUCUCUCUCGUGAAAUGCGAGUGGAGUAGAGAAAUCUCUCAUUUAUGAAGGGUAUUUGUCAGGGCAAGUACUUUAUAGAAUUUAAUAAAAUAUUGUAAGUCUCAGUCUGCUGCAAUAGUAAUUAUAAAUAUUUAACAUAAUAUCAAUAGUCUGAUCAGUAUUAAAAAUAUAUAUAUAGAUUUUGGCCCCGGAGCUAAGCUUUAAUUAAUGUAUCUAAGAUUUGGUUUGGGACUAGACCCCUAAUUGUAAUUUGAAAAAAAAGACCAAUAAUUAACUAAUUAGUAUCUUCUGCAUAAGGGUAUGGGCUAUAGCAAUAAUUAAGUUGAAGAACACCAUCAAUUAGGAUCCAUGCACGUGAUUAAGGUGCAAACAUGUCCAUCUUUUUACUAUUCUUAAGUGAUAACUUGCCUGAAAAAUCAACCAUAUUCCAAUCGAACCCCAACAUGCAUCAACUCCAGCAAUGUAUGCAGGAUUCCUCUUCUGUCAAUGCUAACACACACACACAUUAUAUUAAAUUUUAACAGCUCAAGAAUUUGCUUAAUUUGAUUUGAUUAAUCAUUAGCUCAGUGGAGGUUCAAAAUUUCUAGCCACAGGGUCCUACCAUUUAAAGAAAGCAACAAAAGUUUGAAGGGAAAAAAGCAAUAAAUAACAAUUUGCUUUUCUUUUCUUUAUCUUCAUACGCGACAUAAAUGCCUAGUCUAUAAAUAGCUACUAGAGGCAAAAUGCAGACACAGAAGGAAGAUAGCACCACCAUGUAUAAAAGUGUGCCUUCGAGUGACCUAAGUGCUGGGUACGGAGGGGGACUUGAUUUAACAAGGCAAGGAAAUUUACAGCAUUUUGGAAGGCAACAACACAUGAAUUAAUUGAAGGGCAUAUGAAUAUUGCGGGUAAUGGGUCCAAUUAUUCUUCUCUAGUGUUGUGUGUGGCCGUGUGGGUGCUGCACCACCACCUCCCCCUUCACUGAUUGGUUUGCAUAACCUGUCAACUCAAUUCCCCCACCCCCCAAGAAAAAAGAGGGGGGGGGGGGGGGAAGGGGAAUCUACCAACAACACACGCUUCCACACUGUGUGUUUUUGGGCAUGGUACAAAACUACGAAUUAUGCAAUGGUUGAAUAAUACAAUUGUUUUUUCUUUUUUUGUAAGCUUACAUCGACUUUUCUUCGAGUUGUAUAUUGACAAAAAUAAAGAAGGAUAUAUUAGAAAACUUUCAAUUUCACUUUUGUUACUCAAAGUGCCCCAAAAACCAAUCAAUAUACGUGGAUACUUUUUUCACAGUUGCAUUUUAUAAUUGCUGCAAUACUUGCCUUAUAUAAGUAUCCGAAUAAUGACAAUAGUAUUUGCAUGUAUAUGUUGUCAUAGCAAUCGGCUCAUAAUAGUCUUCAUUUUCUUGAUUGAGAAGAUCUUUAACAUCAUCAUGGAGUGAUUCUUGAGAAUCAUUGUGUGAUUCUUAUCUUAUUUUAGAAUAAUCUAAACUUCAUCUUAGGUUUUUCAGAUAAUUCAUGUUUAUACAAAAGUGAUUUCUAAAAAAAAUAAUCAAAUAUUGAAAUUAGUUUUUAACUUUUCAAAAUCACUUUUGAACAUUCCAAAAAUAAUCCUAAACAAACCUUAAGUCUGACUCUCAAAUAAAAAUCACUACUCAUUAAUUAAUAUAUAGUAAAGGACAAUUUGCUAGGUGAAUUAGUAAAUAUUAAUUGUUAAAUAAAAGUAAGUAAUUAUUACAUAGAUAUAUAAUUCAAUGGGAAAAGGACAUUAAACCCCUAACGUUUGAGAAAAGGGAUAUAAAACCCCUUAACGUUUAAAACAAAA
RNAcentral lists this long non-coding RNA (2352 nucleotides) under Citrus x clementina. Its description in RNAcentral is "Citrus clementina (C. clementina) long non-coding RNA (CCLE_LNC003619)". Lineage: Eukaryota; Viridiplantae; Streptophyta; Magnoliopsida; Sapindales; Rutaceae. The record is from RNAcentral.